GAUGAACGCUGGCGGCGUGCCUAAUACAUGCAAGUCGAGCGAACAGACGAGGAGCUUGCUCCUCUGACGUUAGCGGCGGACGGGUGAGUAACACGUGGAUAACCUACCUAUAAGACUGGGAUAACUUCGGGAAACCGGAGCUAAUACCGGAUAAUAUAUUGAACCGCAUGGUUCAAUAGUGAAAGACGGUUUUGCUGUCACUUAUAGAUGGAUCCGCGCCGCAUUAGCUAGUUGGUAAGGUAACGGCUUACCAAGGCAACGAUGCGUAGCCGACCUGAGAGGGUGAUCGGCCACACUGGAACUGAGACACGGUCCAGACUCCUACGGGAGGCAGCAGUAGGGAAUCUUCCGCAAUGGGCGAAAGCCUGACGGAGCAACGCCGCGUGAGUGAUGAAGGGCUUCGGAUCGUAAAACUCUGUUAUUAGGGAAGAACAAAUGUGUAAGUAACUAUGCACGUCUUGACGGUACCGAAUCAGAAAGCCACGGCUAACUACGU
RNAcentral lists this ribosomal RNA (496 nucleotides) under uncultured bacterium. RNAcentral's name for it is "partial 16S ribosomal RNA". It matches the Rfam family "Bacterial small subunit ribosomal RNA", at positions 28 to 506 of the family's 1533-position model. The record is from RNAcentral.